RNAcentral lists this ribosomal RNA (465 nucleotides) under uncultured bacterium. Its description in RNAcentral is "partial 16S ribosomal RNA". It matches the Rfam family "Bacterial small subunit ribosomal RNA", at positions 28 to 507 of the family's 1533-position model. The record is from RNAcentral.
GACGAACGCUGGCGGCGUGCUUAACACAUGCAAGUCGAACGGAAAGGCCCCUUUGGGGGUACUCGAGUGGCGCACGGGUGAGUAACACGUGAGUAACCUGCCCUUGACUUCGGGAUAACUUCAGGAAACUGGGGCUAAUACCGGAUAGGAAUCCUUGCUGCAUGGUGGGGGUUGGAAAGCUUCGGCGGUUUUGGAUGGACUCGCGGCUUAUCAGCUUGUUGGUGGGGUAGUGGCUUACCAAGGCUUUGACGGGUAGCCGGCCUGAGAGGGCGACCGGCCACAUUGGGACUGAGAUACGGCCCAGACUCCGACGGGAGGCAGCAGUGGGGAAUAUUGCACAAUGGGCGGAAGCCUGAUGCAGCAACGCCGCGGGCGGGAUGACGGCCUUCGGGUUGUAAACCGCUUUCAGCAGGGGCGAAGCUUGUGGUGACGGUACCUGCAGAAGAAGCACCGGCUAACUACGUG